Corticium candelabrum is the source of this 337-nucleotide long non-coding RNA. RefSeq lists it as uncharacterized. The record is from RefSeq and is a predicted model, not a curated record. The transcript is spliced from 4 exons. Lineage: Eukaryota; Metazoa; Porifera; Homoscleromorpha; Homosclerophorida; Plakinidae.
CUGGUUGUUUACCUGUAGUAGAACGUCUCAUUCAAUUAAAGUGCAACAAAGCAGCAACAACUAAUUGUGGAAGGACAGCUCUACACGUUGCUGGUAAUGUGGAGGUAGUUGAUUAUCUCUUUAGCAUUGGCCUCAACAUUGAAGAUCGUGAUGAGAAUGGCUACACACCAUUUCUAGAGGCAUGUCGUGAUGGUCGUUUACCUGUAGUAGAACGUCUCAUUCAAUUAAAGUGCAACAAAGCAGCAACAACUAAUGGUGGAGAGACAGCUCUACACGUUGCUGGUAAUGUUGAGGUAGUUGAUUAUCUCGUGAGCAUUGGUCUCAACAUUGAAGAUCG